Molecule: ribosomal RNA, 406 nt
Filed under: uncultured bacterium
Lineage: Bacteria
Description: partial 16S ribosomal RNA
Rfam family: Bacterial small subunit ribosomal RNA
Source: RNAcentral
AUUGAACGCUGGCGGCAGGCCUAACACAUGCAAGUCGAACGAGUGGCGGACGGGUGAGUAAUGUCUGGGAAACUGCCCGAUGGAGGGGGAUAACUACUGGAAACGGUAGCUAAUACCGCAUACCAUCGGAUGUGCCCAGAUGGGAUUGGCGAGUGGGUGGGGUAACGGCUCACCUAGGCGACGAUCCCUAGCUGGUCUGAGAGGAUGACCGGCAACACGGGAACGGAGCACCGGUCCAAACCCCUACGGAAGGAGGCAUUGGGGAAUAUUGCACAAGGGGCGCAAGCCUGAGACAGCCAGGCCGCGUGUAUGAAGAGGGCCUUCGGGUUGUAAAGUACUUUCAGCGAGGAGGCGUUACUCGCAGAAGAAGCACCGGCUAACUCCGUGCCAGCAGCCGCGGUAAUAC